AUGCACGCUGGCGGCGUGCCUAAUACAUGCAAGUCGAGCGAACAGACGAGGAGCUUGCUCCUCUGACGUUAGCGGCGGACGGGUGAGUAACACGUGGAUAACCUACCUAUAAGACUGGGAUAACUUCGGGAAACCGGAGCUAAUACCGGAUAAUAUAUUGAACCGCAUGGUUCAAUAGUGAAAGACGGUUUUGCUGUCACUUAUAGAUGGAUCCGCGCCGCAUUAGCUAGUUGGUAAAGUAACGGCUUACCAAGGCAACGAUGCGUAGCCGACCUGAGAGGGUGAUCGGCCACACUGGAACUGAGACACGGUCCAGACUCCUACGGGAGGCAGCAGCAGGGAAUCUUCCGCAAUGGGCGAAAGCCUGACGGAGCAACGCCGCGUGAGUGAUGAAGGUCUUCGGAUCGUAAAACUCUGUUAUUAGGGAAGAACAAAUGUGUAAGUAACUAUGCACGUCUUGACGGUACCUAAUCAGAAAGCCACGGCUAACUACGUG
RNAcentral lists this ribosomal RNA (496 nucleotides) under uncultured bacterium. Its description in RNAcentral is "partial 16S ribosomal RNA". It matches the Rfam family "Bacterial small subunit ribosomal RNA", at positions 29 to 507 of the family's 1533-position model. The record is from RNAcentral.